This is a long non-coding RNA of Neodiprion fabricii, 1637 nucleotides long. RefSeq lists it as uncharacterized. The record is from RefSeq and is a predicted model, not a curated record. The transcript has 2 exons. NCBI's taxonomy places the organism in Eukaryota, Metazoa, Arthropoda, Insecta, Hymenoptera, Diprionidae.
UACCAAAGCUACACGCGUCACGUAAAUUUCCACUCUAUCUCGAAUGCAUUAUCGUAAGCAGCAAGUUGUGCGUGUGUUUGCACGGAAGACCUCGGCCAGCUGAUACGGCCUCAGUGCUCAGGGAAUAGUACCGGUGUCUGAUUGUCAGCAAAGAGGAAGGCACGAGGCGAGUCACCGAAAAGUUUCCACGAGCCUCUUCCCUUCUCCCCUGGAUAUUCUUUCGAGUCGUCGCGGUUGCAACGGUUAGAGUAACCUAGUGUUAGCAACGGACUAAGUGUGGUAAGAUUGUUCCUGACGCAACGCUCUUCUGCGUAUAUUUUAUACUUUCUACGCAGAUGUAAGGCGGUACCACGGUAAAUAGGCGUAACGAAUUCUCAGCCUUUAUAAACUUUUUCACGAGGCUCCAAGUAUAAACAAACUUUUCUUGCCAUCCUGUCUUCCGCAUUCGAACAACUUCCGAUAAAUUUUCAUUGAUGGGAAUAAUCGUAGAGACGAAGGAAAAUUCGAAGCGUAUCAACGACGGCCAUCUUGAUUUUGUGCAUCAGCGUUUCGUGGCAUACGAAAUCAUUCUUAAGUAAUAUUAUUUUUCUUAUAUUCAAAAGUUUGACUGAUGAUUCAGCGGACUUGCGCUAUUUCAGGUAAAACGUACGUGAUUUGACAAAAUUUUCGAUUUUUAUACCGUUAACCCUCAAUUAUUCCCCGGCGCAUGUAAGUAUCCUUUAUGUUUAUGUUAAAGGGCGUAACUUGGAUGGUACGAACUUCGGUUGAAAGGAAAAAAAAGGAACUGAGAAAAAACAUUUUUGAGAAUUACGAUCGAUAGAAGGGUUCAUCCUAAUUUCGUACAUAAAUUACACCGAUUAAGUAAUGGAAAUUUCCUUGGUUGUCGUUGUCCACCAACGCGUGCCAUUCGACAGAUUCAACGACUUGAUUGGUGUGGGUUUCUACAGCGUUGACGCUAGGUAUAUACCAAUGACUAAUCGCAAGUACGUACAUUCGCAAUGGGAUUCAUAAGAGAUACACUCACCUUUCUUUGACUUGGCACCGAUCUUCAGUCGCGAAGGCCAUGUGAUGAACGUAUUCGUUUCUUCCAUAACCUGGAAAAAGAAGACGAUAAAAUUCCAACGUUAUCAAUCGUACGAAGAUACGUGAAAAACGGGAAGAUACGCUGAUUCAUAUACUACGAAUUGUUAUAACGAUCAUUACCACGGUCAUGGUCGGUAAUCGAUGAAAUCUUUGCCAAAUUUUCCCCUUCGAUGCGAAGUUCGAAUGAUUAAUCCCGUUGGGAUCCGGCGUAAGUGUUACAGUAAAUUUGUACGGUAGUUGAAAUUAUACAACGAUAAAUUUAUCCUCUCGAUAUUACGAAUGAGGUAAGAAUCCAGCGUUUCAACCGACAAGUUUUUCAACUCGGCUAUUCUUUUCCUGAUGAAAAAUUGGCCAACACUAAUUAUCGUGAGCGUCAAAAGCCGCUGAUGUCACUUUAGAAAGCACAACGACGUGAUGUUAAUUAUUUUUUGCAAUCAAAGCGUACAGAGCUAACUCUGACACAAUUUGUGUUUCUCGCGAACAAGUCGCGCAAGAAUAAUAAAAAAAUUUCAAUUACACGGGUCUAAAAAUGAAGCACACUUUUUCCAACACCU